CUAUUGCUAUUUCCCUCAGCCCCACCCUGGUCACCACCUCUGGUUCCCAUUCUGGAGGCUCUACAGGUACCUGUUCAGGCUGUUAUCCCAACGUCCUGGAGUGGGUUACCCCAAAGCUAGAUGUCCUUGUGGAAAUCUCUACCUCACCUCAGUCUCCCCAGCUGUAAAAUGGAGUCAAGAGCAACUUCAUCUAAGCAUUUGGAGGCUUAACUGAGAAAUGAAGUCUACUGAUAAUUGAAUGGAUGAUGACGCCACCUCUUUCCAGUAUGUUGACUUCCUGGUUAAACAUCUUCAGUCAUCUCAGCCAUUCUUCAGUUGAAUUGCCCAAGACUAACAUCUACAGAAGGAGGAAUGGAGAAAGAUGUAACUAGAGGAACAGAGACAUCAAAAGCCUCAGAAAGACAGCUGAUCACCUGACCAGCUCUCAAAUGAUGAAUUGCCUUAGCUCUCUGCCUUCAAUAUAACCUUUCAGCGAGAGAUUAGACAGAGGCCCGUUUCUAGGAUGUGAACCCACUUUUUCUUACAUUGCUACUUUCUGAAUAAAGCACUAAAGAUUCA
Molecule: long non-coding RNA, 558 nt
Organism: Peromyscus leucopus (white-footed mouse)
Lineage: Eukaryota; Metazoa; Chordata; Mammalia; Rodentia; Cricetidae
Exons: 3
Source: RefSeq, a predicted model, not a curated record